Molecule: long non-coding RNA, 2655 nt
Filed under: Homo sapiens (human)
Lineage: Eukaryota; Metazoa; Chordata; Mammalia; Primates; Hominidae
Description: HSALNT0330733
Source: RNAcentral
UGAGGCACAGAAAGCCCAAGCUCUUGCACAAGGAUCAGAAGGGGGUAUAACCAGAAUUUGUUUCUCAGCAUCCUGACCAACAAUUAUUUUACCUACUAAACAGGGAAGCCUUUCAAAUAUAAUCCAGGGUAUCCGCUUCAUUUUACAACUAAAGAAAUGAAGGCUGGGUAAGGAUAAAGGACUCACAAAGAUCGUGUGUUUAGUUUCUGCUGGUCUAGACAUCUGGGUUCCAAAAGAAGAAUGCAUCUCCCAGGAGACAUGACAAUGAUUCCAUUCAACAGGAAGUUGAGACUGCCACCUGAACACUUUGGGCUCCUCAUGCCUCUGAAUCAACGGGCAAAGAAGAGAGUUAUAGAUCCUAACCACCCAGGAGAAAUUCGGUGGCCACUACACAAACAGACUUUUCUGACUCUGCGGCCAGGUGUUUGUAUUUAACUCCACGGUGAGGAGACUCAUCUUCUGACGGACCUAACCUAUACCAUCAAGCUCCAGCACCACAAGCAAAGACAAAAACCUUGCGGAAACUAUUUAACUAACUCCCACAAUUGCAUAAGAAGAGUCAUGAUCCUAAGAACAGAAGGGAGAUCCCUGUUGCUUUGACUUCUUGCUGUCCUCCUGCUAUUUGGCUCAAAAUGCAAACUCAGUUAUGAGAAGUACAUAGAAGAACAGGUAAACUAAAGCCUGGGCUUUUUCACCAGAGGAUGUGGAAAAGAGGCUUCAGGAAAUUGAGAAGUAUUAUGGAGAUUGCAAAAAUGAGGGAGCUGAAGAAAGAGUUAGAAUGACAGUGAAUGUGAGAAGAGAGAGAGAUGAAUACCACGAAGUUGCGUAUGUACUGCUGGACUAUACCCUGAACUGAGCAUGUAAACAUCUGACCACAGAUGGUAUAAUAAGGCUUUGAAAACUAAGCUACAAUAAAGACCAUCACCCAGGCCAAAAAUUGCUACUUGGAAAUGCACACACAGACUGAUCCAAAUAGCAUUGAAAACACUUAAAGAAAUGGUGCAGACAUUGGAGUCACAAUCCAAAGAAGGCAGAUCAGAGUUUGUUCCAUAAGCCUGAAUAGGUUGAUUGCUUAAUAUAAGAAGAAAAUCAACCUUUUUCUUAUGAUUUAAGACAUAAUCAGAGUCUCAUAACAUAUUCUCAAAAUGCCCAGGAUAUAAUUUAAAAUUAUUUGGCAUAUGAGAAACCAGUGUGAUCGUCUCUUAACUCUUAAAGAAAAAGACAAUUAAAAAUAUCACAAUCAAAAUGACAGGAAUGUUGUAUUUAUCAGAUAAAGACAUUAAAGAGAUAUUAUAACCAUGCUCUAACAGGCAAAUGAAAAGACUCAUAAUGAAUAGAAAAAUAGAAGGUCUCAGCAAAGAGAAAGAAUAUAUGAAGAUGAAAAAUGGAAAUUUUAGAACUGGACAAUGUGACAGUCCAAAGAGAAAAUUCACUGGAUGGACUAAAUAGGAUAAUGGAGAUAACAGAGGAAAAGAGGCAGAUGACUUGAAUACCGAUCAUGAGAAAUUAACUAUUUCAAAGAAGAGAGUAAAAAGAGACUUAAAAAUAAAAUGAACAGAGCCUCUGAGUCCUGUGAAACAAUGUCAAAAAGCCUAAUAUUGGUGUCAUCUGAACCACAGAAGGAGGAAGAAAGUAUGAGAAAAAAUAUCUAAAGAAAAAUAGCCAGAAACUUCCUUAAUUUGGCGAAAGAUAAAAUCUUAAAGAUGCCUGAGGAGGCUCAGGAAACUCUAAGGAGAAGAAGCUACAAAAAAUCUACACUCUAAAACUUCUGAAAUUAAAAAACAAAGAAAAAAUUUUUGAAUGCACCCAGAAACUCAAUACAAAUGGAGAAUUCUGAUUUGAAUACUGUAUAUUUUAUAUAAGGAAACAUGGUAGUUAAGGGGAAGUGGAACAACAUUUUUUAAGUGAUGCAAAAAAUGAUUCUAUAUUCAGAAAUCUUUAUCCAGUAAAAAUAUUCUUGAUAAAUGAAAAUCAAAUAAAGAUAUUCCUGAUGAAACUAAACUAAGAGCAUUUGCUGUCAGUAAGAAACCUGUAACACCAGGAAUAAAGGAAGAGUAACAGAUUUGGUAAAAUAUAAGAGACUAUUCUUCUCUCCUUCAGUUCUUUAAAAUAUGCACAAUGAUUAAAAACAUAAAUUAUAACAAAAUAUACAACAUAAAAGGAGAAUAAAUGUACCUAUAUUUUGAUGAUUUUCUGCUUACCCUUUAAAGUGAUAAAAUAUUGACUCUAAAUAGAAUGUAAAAAAGUAAGUAUAUGUGUCAUAAUCCCUACAGGGAAACGACCAAAAAUACUAUACAAAGUGAUAUCUUCAAAAACUCAAUGAUAAAUUAAAAUAGAAUACUGAAAAAGAAAAAAAAAAGCAUUUACCUAAUCCCAAAGAAGGCAGCAAAGGGGAGACAAAAAAAUGAAAAAGAAAAAUUAGAAAACCAGCAGUAAAAUGGUAGAUCUAAAUUUAAACAUGCUGAUAAUUCUAUUAAAUUUGAAUGUUUUAAACUCAUCACUUGAAAUACAGAGAUUGUCAAGAUAUCUUUAAUUUUUUAAGAAAACAACCCAUAUCUAUCUACAACAACCCUAGUUUAUAUAUAAUUAGAGUAAAAGUAAAUGGAUGGCAAAAAUGGUAUACAACAACUAAUCAAAAGAAAACUGUAGUAGCUA